GUCCACGCCGUAAACGAUGAACACUAGGUUUUGGGCCCGUCAACGGCUCGGAGCCGCAGCUAACGCGUUAAGUGUUCCGCCUGGGGAGUACGCUCGCAAGGGUGAAACUCAAAAGAAUUGACGGGGGCCCGCACAAGCGGUGGAGCAUGUGGUUUAAUUCGACGCAACGCGCAGAACCUUACCAGGGCUUGACAUGGGGAAGACCGGACGAGAGAUCGUCCUUCUCUAGCAAUAGAGCUUCCCACACAGGUGCUGCAUGGCUGUCGU
Molecule: ribosomal RNA, 267 nt
Filed under: uncultured bacterium
Lineage: Bacteria
Description: partial 16S ribosomal RNA
Rfam family: Bacterial small subunit ribosomal RNA
Source: RNAcentral